UAAUAUAUAAAUCUACAAGCCAAUGAGACUUAGAACAUAACUUUUUACAAUGCAUGGGACAGGCUUAUUCAUUCUCACCAACUCAAAAUAAAGGUUAAUAUUGAAAGAAAGAAAAAAAUUGGUUUUGAUUCUUAAAACUACCUUUAAUUUGACUCUUUUUCAUAUAUAACACUCCAGUUGGUUAAUCAUAUUCAAAGGAAGGCAGUUACCUCACAAGUAGCUCUUAUGAUGUCAAACAUUCUAUAGCCUGAAAUUUCAACCUCAACCUUGACCUUCACUUCCCUCACAACCACUUGAAUUUUUACCCUCGCAGCCACUUGAGCUAAAAUGAAAACUCCACUUUGCUUUCAUCAGUUUUGGGGAUUGUUUUUAUACUGCUGUGGUGAAACAUUCUUCCCCUAAGAAAAUGCACAGGCCACUUUGCUCUGCAGUCAGGAGUUCAAGGCUUCUUCAAUUCUGCUAGGUCACAGCAGCCAGAGAAUCUAUCUGGGUCUGCAAGGUAAAAAUGGAUUGGACUAUUUCCUGUUGACUCCGUGAUAAGUCCUGAGAUAAAGUAUGAUAGUAAGAGAGAGAAGUUAUGAGACCUGCUAUCCCUAUUCCUGGUGCAGUGGAGAAGCCCAAGCCAACAAGCAGAGUAAUCAACUGGAUAGCCCUGUGCUAAUGGACCAAAGUUUCACCACAAGAGAAAGGCUCUGGUUUCCUGGGAUUAUCUGUUUUUGGGGUGAGAUAUGCCAACAUACAGAUCCUUGUACAUUUGAUAGAGAGGCCUAGGCAGCUCUCAUCAGGAAUUGGAAAGUUCCUCUGACCUCAGUGAACUUUCAGGCCCCUGCACUCUACAGUUUCUCCUUUUGUGAUAUGGCCUACAAGAGGAAGAUCCCAUGCCCCAGGGAGUGAGGAGAGCCAUGGAUUUUUAUGUCUGAAGUAGGACAGCACCCUGAGGAGGCGAGAAGGAGAACAUCGGCAAUAGCUGUGCUGUUUGUGCAGAAAGCUUCCUUUGAAGUUUCCACACCACAUGCGUGAGGUGCACCAUUGGCAUGGAUAUGGAGCCUUCAGUGUUCACGGGAAGCAAGAGGACAGCUGUAAACGGGGCCUGCACAUGUGAUCCAUCACCUGCUAAAUCAUAGGACUUUCCACUUGGAUAAAUUCACACCCCAACACAGAAGAUGCAGUUUCUUUCUGAACCUAUAAUGUUCUUUCCUUCUAAUAAAACAUGCAUGGCAAGGACAGUUCACAAAUAAAG
RNAcentral lists this long non-coding RNA (1240 nucleotides) under Heterocephalus glaber (naked mole-rat). RNAcentral describes it as "lncRNA (ENSHGLG00000032104.1)". Lineage: Eukaryota; Metazoa; Chordata; Mammalia; Rodentia; Bathyergidae. The record is from RNAcentral.